UGGGGAAUAUUGGACAAUGGGGGCAACCCUGAUCCAGCCAUGCCGCGUGAGUGAUGAAGGCCUUCGGGUUGUAAAGCUCUUUUGGCGGGGACGAUGAUGACGGUACCCGCAGAAUAAGCCCCGGCUAACUUCGUGCCAGCAGCCGCGGUAAGACGAAGGGGGCUAGCGUUGUUCGGAAUUACUGGGCGUAAAGCGAGUGUAGGCGGUUGCCGUAGUCAGGUGUGAAAGCCUUGAGCUCAACUCAAGAAAUGCACUUGAUACUGGGUGACUAGAGGACCGGAGAGGAUAGUGGAAUUCCCAGUGUAGUGGUGAAAUACGUAGAGAUUGGGAAGAACACCAGUGGCGAAGGCGGCUAUCUGGACGGUUACUGACGCUAAGACUCGAAAGCGUGGGGAGCAAAACAGGAUUAGAUACCCUGGUAGUCCACGCCCUAAAACGAUGUCAACUAGUUGUUGGGGAUUCAUUUUCCUUAGUAACGUAGCUAACGCGUGAAGUUGACCGCCUGGGGGAGUACGGUCGCAAGAUUAAAAACUCAAAGGAAUUGAC
Molecule: ribosomal RNA, 546 nt
Filed under: uncultured bacterium
Lineage: Bacteria
Description: partial 16S ribosomal RNA
Rfam family: Bacterial small subunit ribosomal RNA
Source: RNAcentral